Galeopterus variegatus (Sunda flying lemur) is the source of this 499-nucleotide long non-coding RNA. RefSeq lists it as uncharacterized. Lineage: Eukaryota; Metazoa; Chordata; Mammalia; Dermoptera; Cynocephalidae. The transcript is spliced from 3 exons. The record is from RefSeq and is a predicted model, not a curated record.
CUAAGCAUACUGUAACCAAAACUUCUCCAGCUGACCUCGCUGCAGCUGAGCUUGCUGCAGCUGAGCAUGCUGCAACCACACCUUCAUUGACCGAGCCAGCUGCAGCUGAGCAUGCUUCAGCCAAAACUCUAGCUGAGUCUUUUGUAACUGAGCUUGCUCUAGACAAAUUUGGUUCAGCUGAACCUGCAGCAGCUGGGCUUGCUGCAGCCAAAACUUUUCCAUCUGAGCCCUUUGUAGCUGAGCCCCUUGCAGCUGAGUUUUCUUCAGCCAAUUCUGCUUCAGUUGAACCUCCUGGAGCUGACCCUGCUACAGCCAGAUUUCCUUCAUUUGAGCCUGCUGCCCCAGAACCUCAGCUGCCUUCUCCUGACCAGGUAAAGAAAUGAAAUUUCCUAGAGAAGAGAGUAUGGUGCAUUUGUUUCUGUAUGGGUGCAGAAAUCAGUGAAAUCUACAAAAUUUUCUUUUUCAAAGACUAUUUCAUUCUCUUAUAUUAAAACUAUCA